Neopelma chrysocephalum (saffron-crested tyrant-manakin) is the source of this 1007-nucleotide long non-coding RNA. RefSeq lists it as uncharacterized. NCBI's taxonomy places the organism in Eukaryota, Metazoa, Chordata, Aves, Passeriformes, Pipridae. The transcript has 6 exons. The record is from RefSeq and is a predicted model, not a curated record.
CCCCACCAUGGUCACCACAGCAGCACAGAAUGGCCUUGGAGCGAGGGAAUCAGGCAUGAGGAACAGGGAGUGACCACCCCAGCACCCCACCCACGGGUCCCUGGGCACAGAUGCCACCACCAGAACCAUCAGUGGAGACAGCUUUGCUCUUGCACCAUUGGACAUGGUCACCUUCCCUGGAGAGAGAGCUCCCUCGGAGGACAAGGAGGAUGAGAAGGAUGAGGUCUGUGGACGCUGGAUCCUGUCAUGGAGCAAGUCCUGAGUGCCCUUCUCCAGGCUCGGGUACAACCAGGUGCCCCAUUCCCUGUUCUCCGUCUCUCCAACCUCGUGGUUCCUCGGACACUGCCCAGGCUUGGAAGAAGCUCAGCAAUGAGCAACCUGGUCCAGUGGAAGGUGUCCCUGCCCGUGGCAGAGGGGUGGAAUGAGAUGAGCUUUAAGGUCCCUCCCAACCCAAACUAUUCCAGGAUUCAGCACAAAUUCCUUGUUUUCCUCCUGAAACCAGUCCUGCAAACUCCCAUGCCAGGGAAGCACCUCUAGAGGAGUCUCCAUCGUGGGGAGAGUGUGGGAACAUCCACCUGCAGAGCCAGAGGGAUCCCAGCACUCCGAGGAUGUUCCCUCCCUCCAGCCCCAGGUUCAGCACAUUUUCCUCAGAAGCCAAGGGAACCCCAGCUUGCUCCAGGUGGAGGAGGAGCCAGUGGGAUGAAUCCUACCCCAAACAGUUGAAAAUCUUGUCACUGCGGAGCACGUGGAGAUGAUGGGAAGAACAGGGCAGCUUUAGGUGAUUUCUGCUGCCACUGCAGGUCACACAUGUCACCUCUGCCCAGCAGCAUCGCCGCUGUGGCUCCCCCUGCUCCUGAGGAGCAGCAAGGGUUGUCCCCUGGUCUUCCUCACAGAGGGAAGGUGUGCCCAAGGUGCAGAUGCCAUCAGAGCAGGGCUCCAGAUGCUCUUCCAGCAGGCUCAGCCAUCCUGUGGAUCCUGGCAGCCCCAUGGAGACCCCGGAGUAUCUC